AAAAAAGCUGAUGAAACUAUAUUUCGUUUAUCAAAGCCUUUCGGGUCUGAAGAUAAGAAAAUGAUGAAGAAAAAAUCUGAUUUU
RNAcentral lists this small nucleolar RNA (84 nucleotides) under Plasmodium malariae. RNAcentral describes it as "small nucleolar RNA snoR29". It matches the Rfam family "small nucleolar RNA snoR29". The record is from Rfam by way of RNAcentral. Lineage: Eukaryota; Apicomplexa; Aconoidasida; Haemosporida; Plasmodiidae.